AUACUGCUGAGGAGUCCCAUAAUAGGACGGAACGGCCGUCCAGUGC
RNAcentral lists this non-coding RNA (46 nucleotides) under Schistosoma mansoni. The record is from RNAcentral. Lineage: Eukaryota; Metazoa; Platyhelminthes; Trematoda; Strigeidida; Schistosomatidae.